This 1294-nucleotide long non-coding RNA is filed under the name Mus musculus (house mouse). RNAcentral's name for it is "predicted gene, 26756". Lineage: Eukaryota; Metazoa; Chordata; Mammalia; Rodentia; Muridae. The record is from RNAcentral.
GUCUGCGCCGUGGCCGCCGCCGCCGCCGCUGCCUGUCGCCGAGCCUGGCAUCUCCGAGCCCCCGCGCGGGGGGCUGCCGCCCAGCGCUGAUUGACAGCCCGCCUCGCCAAUGCCUGGAGGGAGAAAGGAGGUGUCUUUGUGGGCACCGAGGGAUAUAAUGGUGAGACGUACCAGGGUCCAUUGAGGGAAUAAGGAGAAGAUAAUAAAUUAGUUGCCAACUUGCAAAUUUUUGAGAGCCGCAAUUACUGAGAAAGGAUUUGUCUGACAGCAGAGAGAGUUUUCAAAUCAGCAGCUGUGUGAUCCUUUUAAAAUAGAAUUGUGCUUCUCUUGGGUGGGUGUGGUGAUAUAUGCCUAUGAUCCCAGCAUUUGGGAGGCAGAAGCAGGCAGACCUCUGUUAGUUCAAGGCCAAGCUAGUGUACAUCAUGAUAUCUGGGACAGUCAUAGGGCUACAUAGUAACACCCUGUAGAGACCGUGUCUUAAAACAAAACAAGACAAAACAAAAACAACCACACACACACACACACACACACACACACACACACACACAAUCAGCUUCCAGUCUCCCCUUCAUUGUCUUUCCCCUCUGUGGUUACACUUUGCCUCUUAGAGCACAUUCCUCUCUCCACUGCAGCCUCACUGGUCUUUUUGAGCAGGUCAAAGGUAUUUUAGCUGGCAUGUUUUUCCCUGGAGUGUAUACACAGUUCUUUUCCAUAUCUCUUGUACGUUUUCCUGUGGUAUCCCUGUUUCAGUGAGGCCUUCACUAAGCUCCCUGCUUACAACUGUAACCCUGGCCCUUUCUUGUCACACACACACACACACACACACACACACACACACACACACACACACCUCCCUUCCUAUCUAGCACUGUCACUGUCUGUCAUACUAUGAAGUGCCAUUGUGGUGAGAUUAUAACUCCCUCACAGGAAGGGAGGUCUGCUGAGUCAGCAGGUAGACUAGUGCCUAGCACAUGACAGAGCCCCAGUGAACCUGCUGGGUGAGGAAUGGCUUGAAGAGCUGUGGAAGCAGCUGGAGGAAGUGCUAACAUUACCUAGAUGGAGAGGGGAGAGGCAGCAGUCAUGCUAGAGGGACGAGAGAACACUUCAGUAUUUCAGUGUUUCAGGAAGCGCAUAUCCUAUUGCAGCCAGCUCCGAGCAGAGGAAAGGUUCAACCUUCGUUCUCUCUUCCAAAUGAAGUCUGUAAUAGUUUUCUUUUCUUUCUGUAAAGGAGGCUCUGUUGAGCCUGUUUGGAAAAGUGAUGUCCUUUUAAAGAAUAUAUAAAGGCAGUCAUUUU